AGCUACUACACAAACCCGACCCCAUUUCCAACAACUAUCAUACCAAUACUCAGCUUCUUGCAAAAAUCAUUUUUUGUCUCCAAAACCAGAUUUCUUUCUUUCUUAACUUGUCGAGAUGAUGGCGAGGACAAUGAGGACGAUUACGAGGAUGAUGAGGUCCUGCCGUCAUUGUCUAGCUGGCCUUUGUCGGUUUAUUCCAUGGAUGACUAUAACGUAAAUGAGGAAGGCGACGGCAAUAACCACGAUGACGACAAAGAUGAGGAAGAGAACGACGAUGAAGAAGCCAAGGAGGAGGUGUGACUAGAGUUGCUUUAAGCUCAAGGAGGGGCACAGCCUCGCAUUCAGGAGCGGCUUUCGACUCAAGAAGUGGUAGAGGUUCGAGUUCGCGCAACGGCUUCAACUUCAGGAAACUCAAGAUCCCAGCAUGCUUUAGAAGAUCGUGAACAGAAUCAUCUACACCCACAAGAGUUGUCACAGGAGCAAUUUCAGGACCAACUGCAUCAGCUACCGCCAUAUUGUCACUAUGCAUUUCAUAACUAGCUGUUCUCUUUCUUGGUAAACAUUGAUUAAGUGGACGGUGACAGGUGGUUAUUCAACUAUUUUGUGUAACAAAUAGUAAUCGCAGUUCCAUUUUGUUCAUUA
Long non-coding RNA from Syzygium oleosum, 642 nucleotides. RefSeq lists it as uncharacterized. NCBI's taxonomy places the organism in Eukaryota, Viridiplantae, Streptophyta, Magnoliopsida, Myrtales, Myrtaceae. The record is from RefSeq and is a predicted model, not a curated record. The transcript is spliced from 3 exons.